Molecule: unclassified non-coding RNA, 235 nt
Filed under: plant metagenome
Description: partial contains small subunit ribosomal RNA, internal transcribed spacer 1, and 5.8S ribosomal RNA
Source: RNAcentral
UUUCCGUAGGUGAACCUGCGGAAGGAUCAUUAAAGUUAUAGUCCCCCGGCCCCUCCGGGCUGGGGUCUUCUAUACCACCCUUUGUUUAUUACACCUUUGUUGCUUUGGCAGGCCUGCCCUCGGGCUGCCGGCUCCGGCCGGCUCGUGCCUGCCAGAGGACCUAAACCCUGUUUGUAUAUGAAGUCUGAGUACUAUAUAAUAGUUAAAACUUUCAACAACGGAUCUCUUGGUUCUG